Molecule: ribosomal RNA, 474 nt
Filed under: uncultured organism
Description: partial 16S ribosomal RNA
Rfam family: Bacterial small subunit ribosomal RNA
Source: RNAcentral
CACUCCUACGGGAGGCAGCAGUGGGGAAUUUUGGACAAUGGGCGAAAGCCUGAUCCAGCAAUGCCGCGUGAGUGAAGAAGGCCUUCGGGUUGUAAAGCUCUUUUGUCAGGGAAGAAACGGUGAGAGCUAAUAUCUCUUGCUAAUGACGGUACCUGAAGAAUAAGCACCGGCUAACUACGUGCCAGCAGCCGCGGUAAUACGUAGGGUGCAAGCGUUAAUCUGAAUUACUGGGCGUAAAGCGUGCGCAGGCGGUUUUGUAAGUCUGAUGUGAAAUCCCCGGGCUCAACCUGGGAAUUGCAUUGGAGACUGCAAGGCUAGAAUCUGGCAGAGGGGGGUAGAAUUCCACGUGUAGCAGUGAAAUGCGUAGAUAUGUGGAGGAACACCGAUGGCGAAGGCAGCCCCCUGGGUCAAGAUUGACGCUCAUGCACGAAAGCGUGGGGAGCAAACAGGAUUAGAUACCCGUGUAGUCCCAUG